Molecule: small RNA, 715 nt
Filed under: Pongo abelii (Sumatran orangutan)
Lineage: Eukaryota; Metazoa; Chordata; Mammalia; Primates; Hominidae
Description: processed transcript
Source: RNAcentral
UGUGUGGUGGCCCGGUUCCUAACAGGAACCAGAGUUUGGGGACCCCUGUUUUAGAGAGUCAGUUGCAGGGUCCCAGUAAUUUCCUUUUCCUCAAGUUUUCAUAAUACAUUUUCAAGUUUUUCCAGAUCAUCUGUGUAAAAAUCACCUGGAAUGCUUGUUAAAAAUUCAUAUCCUUGGACCCUUCCUUCCCCCAUCUCUCACCAAUCAGAAUAUCUGGGAACUGCCUAGGAACUGCAUUUAACAGGCACCCAGGCGGAAUGCAGUGGUAGAGUCAUGGCUCAUUGCAGCCUCAACCUCCUGGGCUCAAUUGAUCCUCCUGCCUCAGCCUUCUGAGUAGCUGGGACUACAGGUCUUUGGAAUGGCAUCUCUUCAUAUGCAACGUAGAAUAUAUGCUUACUAUAUUAGUCCACUUUGUGUUGCUAUGAAGAAAUACCUGAGGCUGGGUAAUUAUAAAGAAAAGAAGUUUAAUUGUCUCAGAGUUCUUCAGGCUGUACAGGAAAUGUGGUGCCAGCAUCUGCUUCUGAUGUGAAAGGGCCACCCACCCACCGUCUGUCUUGUGGUCAGUCACCCUACACCGAGACAACAACAUGGGAGCGGAAGUAUUGCAUCCUCACAGACAGCCAGUUGGUAUUGCUCAACAAGGAGAAGGAGAUACCUGUGGAAGGGGGACAGGAGCAGCAGACAGAUGCCACCAAAGGGCGAUGCCUGAGGAGAA